UACGGAGGGUGCAAACGUUGCUCGGAAUCAUUGGGCGUAAAGCGCACGUAGGCGGUUCGUUAAGUCGGAUGUGAAAGCCCUGGGCUCAACCCAGGAAGUGCAUUCGAAACUGGCGGACUUGAGUACGGGAGAGGGUUGCGGAAUUCUCGGUGUAGAGGUGAAAUUCGUAGAUAUCGGGAGGAACACCUGUGGCGAAGGCGGCAGCCUGGACCGAUACUGACGCUGAGGUGCGAAAGCGUGGGGAGCAAACAGG
Molecule: unclassified non-coding RNA, 253 nt
Filed under: Sorangiineae bacterium
Lineage: Bacteria; Pseudomonadati; Myxococcota; Myxococcia; Myxococcales
Also listed under: 1 other name
Description: partial 16S ribosomal RNA
Rfam family: Bacterial small subunit ribosomal RNA
Source: RNAcentral